GAUCCUGGCUCAGAGCGAACGUUAGCGGCAGGCUUAACACAUGCAAGUCGAGCGAGAAAGGGGCUUCGGCUCCGAGUAAAGCGGCGGACGGGUGCGUAACACGUGGAUAAUCUGCCUCGUGGCGGGGGACAACAGUCCGAAAGGACUGCUAAUACCGCAUGUCAGGUCGGAAACUCCGGUUUCUGACGAAAAAGAGGGCGCCCGCAAGGGGCUCUCAUCACGAGAUGAGUCCGCGUCCCAUCAGCUAGUUGGCGGUGUAAUAGACCACCAAGGCUUAGACGGGUAGCUGGUCUGAGAGGAUGACCAGCCACACUGGGACUGAGACACGGCCCAGACUCCUACGGGAGGCAGCAGUGGGGAAUAUUGGACAAUGGGCGAAAGCCUGAUCCAGCCAUGCCGCGUG
This 403-nucleotide ribosomal RNA is filed under the name uncultured bacterium. RNAcentral's name for it is "bacterial SSU rRNA". It matches the Rfam family "Bacterial small subunit ribosomal RNA", at positions 15 to 403 of the family's 1533-position model. The record is from RNAcentral.